This is a long non-coding RNA of Triticum aestivum (bread wheat), 1521 nucleotides long. RefSeq lists it as uncharacterized. Lineage: Eukaryota; Viridiplantae; Streptophyta; Magnoliopsida; Poales; Poaceae. The record is from RefSeq and is a predicted model, not a curated record. The transcript has 5 exons.
ACAAAAUCCCUAGAUCUCUCCUGUUGCUCCCCACGCACGCCGGCGCCCACGCCUCCGACCGCCGCCCCGCGCCGCCCGGGGCUACCGCCGGUCUAUCCCACCGCUGCCCCACGCCGCCCUUCCUCUGUAGCACCGCCCCACGCUGCCCUUCCUCUGUAGCACCGCCCCACGCUGCCCUGUCCCUACAGCGCAGCCCAACUCCGUCCCGCCUCUCUCCGCCGCCGGCUCCACACCCUCGUGAUCUCUCUCCGGUUGGCCGCCUCUUUCCAACAUCCCGGGCCCGACCUCCCCAUCUCCACCUUCCAGCUCACGAAGACACACGCAGCGGCAAAUUUGGAUGGGGGCAGCGUGCGCCUGGGCAAGGGCAUCUCUCUCUGUCUUUGGCUGGGCAGGGGCACAGAAGCGGCUGAGUUAAACAGAGGACAACUGUUUGUAACAUUGAGCCGAUGAAGAGAAGUAGCAGAAUAUUCGACGCCACCUUAGUGCAUAAGCGAUGUACUCAUAUAGUGUGUCUUUUGCUGGAGGAAAAAUGGCAAGCGCAAGCGGAAAAGCUAAAGAUGGUGGGGUCACGGAGGAACAACUGAAAGCAUUUGAGUAUAAAUACAGAAAAGUAGGACCAGAGAACAAAAUGAAGCAAGUCAUCCUGCUGAAUCAAAACUAUAGUAUAUCCAUCCACAUAUCCUAACUGUAGUAUAUCCCUGCAGCACACUCUGUUAUGGGCAUAAAUAAACACAUAUGCAUGUAUUCAUUAUCAAAACACAAACAAUAUAUAUGAUAACAAAACAGUAGGCAGUGAUGUUGUCAACAUGUCUAGUCAUCAUAAAUCUCCUUACCUUUUUUCUUAUAGUCUCGCAGUGCUAUCACCAAAAAGAAUCGCUCCAAUGAAGUGCCUCAUACAUCCGGGAGCAAGAGUCACAAACAAUAUAUAUAUAUAUAUAUAUAUAUAUAUAUAUAUAUAUAUAUAUAUAUAUAUAUAUAUAUAUGUGAUAAUUUUCUUGUAGCCUCCUAGAUCUUCUUGUGAGGUUGUUGUCAAUGUUGUGAUCACAAGGGAUGCAACACUGCCUUAUGAAUAUGAUGGUUUACGAUUUGUCGCCGAUGCUAUCACAAGGUCCAUUGCAUGGCCAUCUAGCAAGAUGAAACCCUACAAGCCAGGGGCAUCUUCCUCAUCCCACCACUAAGGUUGCUGUCAGGUUGUGUACGGAAGACAAGAGGAACAAGAAGGAACCAUGAAGUUGUCAGUUUGCGUCAACUAGAUAUCUUUUGUAAUGGAGCAAAACCAAUGCAUCUUGUAGCUACCAUUUUGUAAAGGAUAUCUUGUAACGUAGCAAGCAUUGAACCGUGGGACAUGCAUCUAUCAUUUUAUAAACAUAUCGGGUGUUUCGGUCACCCAGGAAAAUGUUUCCUCUUAUUUAGUUACCUCUAUUAUGAGAAUUAUAAGUGUUAUUUUUGUUUGGUUCUGGUUUAAUAUUUGAGAGUACAUGCAAGUUAUUGUAACUUGAUAGAUAAUGAUGAGAUAUGUAA